Molecule: small nuclear RNA, 104 nt
Organism: Elgaria multicarinata webbii
Lineage: Eukaryota; Metazoa; Chordata; Lepidosauria; Squamata; Anguidae
Source: RefSeq, a predicted model, not a curated record
GUUCCGUUAGUGGUAUCUAUGCUGAAAGUGAAAUUAUACAGAGAAGAUUAGCAUAACCCCUUUGCAAAGAUGACAUGUUGUUGUGUUUUGAUCUAUUGGCAUCU